This 253-nucleotide ribosomal RNA is filed under the name uncultured bacterium. Its description in RNAcentral is "partial 16S ribosomal RNA". It matches the Rfam family "Bacterial small subunit ribosomal RNA", at positions 524 to 776 of the family's 1533-position model. The record is from RNAcentral.
UACGGGGGGAGCAAGCGUUGUUCGGAUUUACUGGGCGUAAAGCGCACGUAGGCGGCUUUGUAAGUUAGAGGUGAAAGCCCGGGGCUCAACCCCGGAAUUGCCUUUAAGACUGCAUCGCUUGAAUCCGGGAGAGGUGAGUGGAAUUCCGAGUGUAGAGGUGAAAUUCGUAGAUAUUCGGAAGAACACCAGUGGCGAAGGCGGCUCACUGGACCGGUAUUGACGCUGAGGUGCGAAAGCGUGGGGAGCAAACAGG